This 468-nucleotide ribosomal RNA is filed under the name uncultured bacterium. RNAcentral describes it as "partial 16S ribosomal RNA". It matches the Rfam family "Bacterial small subunit ribosomal RNA", at positions 28 to 507 of the family's 1533-position model. The record is from RNAcentral.
GACGAACGCUGGCGGCGCGCCUAACACAUGCAAGUCGAACGGAGUCAAGAGGAGCUUGCUUUUCUUGACUUAGUGGCGAACGGGUGAGUAACGCGUGAGUAACCUGCCCUGGAGUGGGGGACAACAGUUGGAAACGACUGCUAAUACCGCAUAAGCCCACGGAUCCGCAUGGAUCUGCGGGAAAAGGAUUUAUUCGCUUCAGGAUAGACUCGCGUCCAAUUAGCUAGUUGGUGAGGUAACGGCCCACCAAGGCGACGAUUGGUAGCCGGACUGAGAGGUUGAACGGCCACAUUGGGACUGAGACACGGCCCAGACUCCUACGGGAGGCAGCAGUGGGGGAUAUUGCACAAUGGGGGAAACCCUGAUGCAGCGACGCCGCGUGGAGGAAGAAGGUUUUCGGAUUGUAAACUCCUGUCGUUAGGGACGAUAAUGACGGUACCUAACAAGAAAGCACCGGCUAACUACGUG